RNAcentral lists this ribosomal RNA (253 nucleotides) under uncultured bacterium. RNAcentral's name for it is "partial 16S ribosomal RNA". It matches the Rfam family "Bacterial small subunit ribosomal RNA", at positions 524 to 776 of the family's 1533-position model. The record is from RNAcentral.
GACGGAGGAUGCAAGUGUUAUCCGGAAUCACUGGGCGUAAAGCGUCUGUAGGUGGUCAAAUAAGUCAACUGUUAAAUCUUGAGGCUCAACCUCAAAAUCGCAGUCGAAACUAUUAGGCUAGAGUAUAGUAGGGGUAAAGGGAAUUUCCAGUGGAGCGGUGAAAUGCGUAGAGAUUGGAAAGAACACCGAUGGCGAAGGCACUUUACUGGGCUAUUACUAACACUCAGAGACGAAAGCUAGGGUAGCAAAUGGG